This 497-nucleotide ribosomal RNA is filed under the name uncultured bacterium. RNAcentral describes it as "partial 16S ribosomal RNA". It matches the Rfam family "Bacterial small subunit ribosomal RNA", at positions 28 to 507 of the family's 1533-position model. The record is from RNAcentral.
GAUGAACGCUGGCGGCGUGCCUAAUACAUGCAAGUCGAGCGAACGGACGAGAAGCUUGCUUCUCUGAUGUUAGCGGCGGACGGGUGAGUAACACGUGGAUAACCUACCUAUAAGACUGGGAUAACUUCGGGAAACCGGAGCUAAUACCGGAUGAUAUUUUGAACCGCAUGGUUCAAAAGUGAAAGACGGUCUUGCUGUCACUUAUAGAUGGAUCCGCGCUGCAUUAGCUAGUUGGUAAGGUAACGGCUUACCAAGGCAGCGAUGCAUAGCCGACCUGAGAGGGUGAUCGGCCACACUGGAACUGAGACACGGUCCAGACUCCUACGGGGGGCAGCAGUAGGGAAUCUUCCGCAAUGGGCGAAAGCCUGACGGAGCAACGCCGCGUGAGUGAUGAAGGUCUUCGGAUCGUAAAACUCUGUUAUUAGGGAAGAACAUAUGUGUAAGUAACUGUGCACAUCUUGACGGUACCUAAUCAGAAAGCCACGGCUAACUACGUG